GAUGAACGCUGGCGGCGUGCCUAAUACAUGCAAGUCGAGCGAACAGACGAGGAGCUUGCUCCUCUGACGUUAGCGGCGGACGGGUGAGUAACACGUGGAUAACCUACCUAUAAGACUGGGAUAACUUCGGGAAACCGGAGCUAAUACCGGAUAAUAUAUUGAACCGCAUGGUUCAAUAGUGAAAGACGGUUUUGCUGUCACUUAUAGAUGGAUCCGCGCCGCAUUAGCUAGUUGGUAAGGUAACGGCUUACCAAGGCAACGAUGCGUAGCCGACCUGAGAGGGUGAUCGGCCACACGGGAACUGAGACACGGUCCAGACUCCUACGGGAGGCAGCAGUAGGGAAUCUUCCGCAAUGGGCGAAAGCCUGACGGAGCAACGCCGCGUGAGUGAUGAAGGUCUUCGGAUCGUAAAACUCUGUUAUUAGGGAAGAACAAAUGUGUAAGUAACUAUGUACGUCUUGACGGUACCUAAUCAGAAAGCCACGGCUAACUACGUG
RNAcentral lists this ribosomal RNA (497 nucleotides) under uncultured bacterium. Its description in RNAcentral is "partial 16S ribosomal RNA". It matches the Rfam family "Bacterial small subunit ribosomal RNA", at positions 28 to 507 of the family's 1533-position model. The record is from RNAcentral.